RNAcentral lists this long non-coding RNA (533 nucleotides) under Pongo abelii (Sumatran orangutan). RNAcentral's name for it is "lincRNA". The record is from RNAcentral. Lineage: Eukaryota; Metazoa; Chordata; Mammalia; Primates; Hominidae.
UCAGAAGAGGGGCGUAAGCAGAGUAUAAUGGGAUCAAGUGAGCAGCCUUAAACAUGCGGAAGAGAUGCUGAGUGGAUCUGGGCAGGCAAAAGAGAUAGCGAGAAGGGGGGUAGAAGAAGAGGUCAGCUGCUCGGUCCAGAGUAGGCUUGCAAGACUGCAUUCUCUAGAUGUCCCAGUAGAUAACCUCAAGGAGCUCGGCACCGGGAAGCGAUUGCCCUUAUCAAACCUUCUGGGGCAGGCACAGAAGUGAGUUUGCCCACAUUCCAUAUUAAUGGUAAACAGUUUGCUGUUUGAUCAUAUAGCCUCAGUGGAAUGCUGAGUUGGUCACAUCCCACAGGCCUUUGGCUCCCUGCAAGUUCCUGUCCCUGAAAGGGUCUGGAUCUUGGUGGCUUUUUGUUUCCAGCUGUAGCUUCCAUGGGCUGUGGUGGAUGUUUUCAGCCCACUCCACUUGCUUGAGUAAGCUUGAGUGGGGUUCUAUGUCAUGCAACUAAAAGAAGUGUGAUUAAAACAGACAAAAUGGAGAUCCAGACUAC